This 253-nucleotide ribosomal RNA is filed under the name uncultured bacterium. RNAcentral describes it as "partial 16S ribosomal RNA". It matches the Rfam family "Bacterial small subunit ribosomal RNA", at positions 524 to 776 of the family's 1533-position model. The record is from RNAcentral.
UACGGAGGGUGGAAGCGUUACUCGGGAUCACUGGGCGUAAAGGGCGCGUAGGCGGGCUAGCAAGUCUGGUGUGAAAGCCCAGGGCUCAACCCUGGAAGGGCACUGGAAACUGUUAGGCUUGAGUUCCGGAGAGGAGGGGGGAAUUCCCGGUGUAGCGGUGAAAUGCGUAGAUAUCGGGAGGAAUACCGGUGGCGAAGGCGCCCCUCUGGACGGAAACUGACGCUGAGGCGCGAAAGCGUGGGGAGCAAACAGG